Molecule: ribosomal RNA, 253 nt
Filed under: uncultured bacterium
Lineage: Bacteria
Description: partial 16S ribosomal RNA
Rfam family: Bacterial small subunit ribosomal RNA
Source: RNAcentral
UACGUAGGCAGCAAGCGUUGUUCGGAAUUACUGGGCGUAAAGAGUGUGUAGGCGGUGCUCCAAGUCUGGUGUGAAAUCUCCCGGCUUAACUGGGAGGGUGCAUUAGAAACUGGAAUGCUAGAGGAUGGGAGAGGUAAGCGGAAUUCCUGGUGUAGCGGUGAAAUGCGUAGAUAUCAGGAGGAACACCGGUGGCGAAGGCGGGUCUCUGGGCCGAUACUGACGCUGAGGAGCGAAAGCGUGGGGAGCGAACAGG